GUUGAUCCUGGCUUACGAUGAACGCUGGCGGCGUGCCUAACACAUGCAAGUCGAACGGAGAUGAAGCGCUGUCGAGACUUCGGUCAAAACUUGUUUAUCUUAGUGGCGGACGGGUGAGUAACGCGUGGAGAACCUGCCUCGUACUGGGGGAUAACAGUUGGAAACGACUGAUAAUACCGCAUAAGCCCACGAGACCGCAUGGUCAUGAGGGAAAAGAUUUAUCGGUACGAGAUGGAUCCGCGUCUGAUUAGCCAGUUGGCGGGUAACGGCCCACCAAAGCGACGAUCAGUAGCCGGCCUGAGAGGGCGGACGGCCACAUUGGGACUGAGACACGGCCCAAACUCCUACGGGAGGCAGCAGUGGGGGAUAUUGCACAAUGGGGGAAACCCUGAUGCAGCGACGCCGCGUGAGUGAAGAAGUAUUUCGGUAUGUAAAGCUCUAUCAGCAGGGAAGAAAGGCCUCGCAAGAGGAGAUGACGGUACCUGACUAAGAAGCCCCGGCUAACUACGUGCCAGCAGCCGC
RNAcentral lists this ribosomal RNA (522 nucleotides) under uncultured bacterium. RNAcentral's name for it is "bacterial SSU rRNA". It matches the Rfam family "Bacterial small subunit ribosomal RNA", at positions 11 to 518 of the family's 1533-position model. The record is from RNAcentral.